CCUAAGCCAUAUUUGGUGUCCACAUAAAGUAUCACCUUGAUCCAAGGUGAUUAAGGACCCCAAAUAACCCAAAAACCCCUUCUGUCCAGAUUGAAGUUAGAGCAACUCUACAUAGCAAAGUUUGUCCAAUGAUGCUGAAACUUUUCAGGAGUGCCUAAUACCUCAAAUGAGGGUUCCACACCAAAAAAGGGAUUUGUGGGACUAAAUUUACCCACACUCUCUUUGGAAGGGACAUAUCUGGUCAAAUAGUGGUGUUUUCAUGUUUACAAAGCUAAACUUAUCCAAUGGAGCUCAAACUUGGUGAAACCCCAUGUUUUAGCACCAAACCCAAACCUGUUAAGUUGCAGCACUAGUGGUGGGGUGCAAACCACUGAAACCACUGUCGAGCACCUUCUGACAGAUGGGUAAAAGCCCUC
Molecule: long non-coding RNA, 416 nt
Filed under: Hordeum vulgare
Lineage: Eukaryota; Viridiplantae; Streptophyta; Magnoliopsida; Poales; Poaceae
Description: long non-coding RNA (HVUL_LNC001059)
Source: RNAcentral